AUGUUUUGUUUGGCAAGAACCAUUUCUUUGAACAAUUUCUUAUUAAUCAUCUAUAAUUUUUCACUUCUGACAGUGUUAUCACCAGUGCUUUCAGUAACUGCAUAUUUAUACAACAGCCAAACUUCAACCUGUAUUCAGUUUUUAUCUGUCUCCUGGGAAUGUAAUUUGGAAAAAAAGUUACCAAUGUAUUUACAACCAAAUUUCAGAUCUUCAACAUUACAGAAGAGUAAGAGAUUGCAGAUUGCUUCUGUGGACUUAUUGAAGGUGGAUCUGGCUGUUGGUGGAGAUCCCUAGACUGCGUGAGGCCAUGGGCAUGAUCUGGAGACACAGCAGGUGAGUCCAACAUGUCAAGGGCAGAUGACAAUGAACAGAAAAAGCUGGUCUUGCUACUUUCUCAGUAACAGUGACUAGCAGUGUGUAUGAGGAGAUCAAAAUUCUAAAGGUUCCCACAAAUUUCUCAGUUUCCUAUUUAGGGCUUCAGGUCUUUGCAGAUAAUCUUCCAGAUAUGGUCUUUGUCUGUUUUCCUUAUUUUUCUG
This 536-nucleotide long non-coding RNA is filed under the name Macaca mulatta (Rhesus monkey). Its description in RNAcentral is "lncRNA (ENSMMUG00000046414.2)". The record is from RNAcentral. Lineage: Eukaryota; Metazoa; Chordata; Mammalia; Primates; Cercopithecidae.